UGUAGCCUCAAAAGAUGCAGCCCCAAAAAGUGCUGCUUUAGAAGGUGCAUCCCCAAAAGGUGCAGCACUAAGAAAGGAUACAGCACUAAAGGGUGCAGCCCCAAAAGGUGCAGCACUAAAAAAGGAUGCAGCCCCAAAAGUGCUACUUUAAAAGAAUGCAGCCCCCAAAGAUGCAGCACUAAUGGAUGCAGCCCCAAAAGAAUGCAGCCCCAAAAAGUGCUGCUUUAAAAGGUGCAGCCCCAAAAGGUGCAGCACUAAAGGAUGCAGCCCCAAAAGUUGUUGCUUUAAAAGGUGCAGCCCCAAAAGAUACAGCACUAAAGGGUGCAGCCCCAAAAGGUGCAGCACUAAAAAAGGAUGCAGCCCAAAAAGGUGCUGCUUUAAAAGGUGCAUUUCC
Molecule: long non-coding RNA, 394 nt
Organism: Poecile atricapillus (Black-capped chickadee)
Lineage: Eukaryota; Metazoa; Chordata; Aves; Passeriformes; Paridae
Exons: 3
Source: RefSeq, a predicted model, not a curated record